UACGGAGGGUGCGAGCGUUGUCCGGAAUCACUGGGCGUAAAGGGCGCGUAGGCGGCCUGAUAAGUAGGGGGUGAAAUCCUGCGGCUUAACCGCAGGGCUGCCUUCUAAACUGUCAGGCUUGAGCACAGUAGAGGCAGGUGGAAUUCCCGGUGUAGCGGUGGAAUGCGUAGAGAUCGGGAAGAACAUCAGUGGCGAAGGUGGCCUGCUGGGCUGUUGCUGACGCUGAGGCGCGACAGCGUGGGGAGCAAACAGG
RNAcentral lists this ribosomal RNA (253 nucleotides) under uncultured bacterium. RNAcentral describes it as "partial 16S ribosomal RNA". It matches the Rfam family "Bacterial small subunit ribosomal RNA", at positions 524 to 776 of the family's 1533-position model. The record is from RNAcentral.